GACGAACGCUGGCGGCGUGCCUAAUACAUGCAAGUUGAGCGCUGAAGGUUGGUACUUGUACCAACUGGAUGAGCAGCGAACGGGUGAGUAACGCGUGGGGAAUCUGCCUUUGAGCGGGGGACAACAUUUGGAAACGAAUGCUAAUACCGCAUAAAAACUUUAAACACAAGUUUUAAGUUUGAAAGAUGCAAUUGCAUCACUCAAAGAUGAUCCCGCGUUGUAUUAGCUAGUUGGUGAGGUAAAGGCUCACCAAGGCGAUGAUACAUAGCCGACCUGAGAGGGUGAUCGGCAAAAUUGGGAAUGGGAAAAGGCCAAAACUACUACGGGAGGCAGCAGUAGGGAAACUUCGGAAAUGGACGAAAGUCUGAACGAGCAACGACGCGUGAGUGAAGAAGGUAUUCGGAUCGUAAAACUCUGUUGGUAGAGAAGAACGUUGGUGAGAGUGGAAAGCUCAUCAAGUGACGGUAACUACCCAGAAAGGGACGGCUAACUACGUG
This 497-nucleotide ribosomal RNA is filed under the name uncultured bacterium. Its description in RNAcentral is "partial 16S ribosomal RNA". It matches the Rfam family "Bacterial small subunit ribosomal RNA", at positions 28 to 507 of the family's 1533-position model. The record is from RNAcentral.